Molecule: long non-coding RNA, 3150 nt
Organism: Ochotona curzoniae (black-lipped pika)
Lineage: Eukaryota; Metazoa; Chordata; Mammalia; Lagomorpha; Ochotonidae
Exons: 2
Source: RefSeq, a predicted model, not a curated record
CUGGCGCUCAUAUGGAAUCCCGGCGCGUUCAAGGCGAGGACUUUAGUUGCUAAGCCACUGUGCCAGGCCUAGUACAGGUUUUUUAAACACCCAACAAUGUCUACCUGGGGGGAUACUUGAGGCCCUCAUCUGGAAUGUGGGUGUGGCUAAGAUCCUUGUCCUGGACUCCUCCUGUGCUGCUAUUUUGCCCUGGCACUUAGUAGGUGCUUAAUAAAUGAUUUACCUCCUGGGAUCACCAGGCACCUCCAGGGGUCACUGAGCCUGUGCUCCUCCCAGGCAGUAAACAGAAAGGCCACCUCCUUGUGGCUCUGGGCCUGCGCGUUCCGCCUGAGACCGGAUUGCUGCCUGAUUUAUCUGGAACACCCACUCCUGCUCUAGAUAGCCAGGCAAGGUUUGGAAUCUGUCUCCUGCACAGCUGCCCUAUCUCGAUAGCACAAUUUCUUUCACUGAGUGAAGACCCAGUCCCUGUAGAGGCCAGCCCAGGUGGAGCCUGCUUCCUCGGCAGAUGCCCGGAUGCCCACUGGAGCUGUGCCCUGGACAAGGACAGGUCAAAGUGCAGCUUGUCCCUUUUAAGAAGAAAAAAAAAAUCCUCUGUCUUUGGCCUCACUGAAAGUUCUGACACGGCUCAGUUGGAGGCCAUAGAGGGCUCAUGGUUCCUGCAGAGUUUAUUUAGUUCCUGGGCCUGGAGUGGUAGAGAAGCCUGCUAGAGCCUGUGCCCUGCUGGUUCCGAGCUGAAGUCCUGCCCUUUCAAGGCAGUCCUGGCCCGGCCUCCCCGGGCCUGUGAGGGUGAAUGGAAGGAGCCAGCACCUUCCCGCUACAGAGUUAUCUUUGCCCCCUGAAAUCAAACACUGCGAGCGGCACCCUGGUGAAGCCGCUUCCUCGUGUUCGUUAAGUAAACAUCCUCCCCUGGUUCUGGAAAGGAAUUCGUUUCUGCUUCCUGGUCAUCCCAUUAGAUUUUUUUUUUUCCCCUUUCUGUUCCCAGUGCCCCACAGAGUCAGGUUAAUAGGAGGAAGACCUAGAAUUGGGCAUAGGCGCCCACAGUGACUGUUGUAAUCCUAGUACGACUGUACAAAUGGUAAUAGGGUCGUGGGAAGGAAAAGAUCUUGAUGGAAAGUGCAGUGACACAAAGUCUGCCCACGCACGGUGGCGUCCUAAGGCUUUGCAGCUCACCGUUGGUCCAUGCCACACCCCAGCCCAGGACAUACCUGUGCCUGCAUUCAAGCUCAGCUGGCUCAUGGCCAUCAGCCCACCUUUGGCCAGCCGCUCUCGGCCAGUCCUAGGCUGCAUGUGUCCGUCCCCUGACCCUGCCCUGCUCUCACUGUGUCUCUCCUGACUGAUUUGCCUUAGCUCUCUUACUUCCACCCACCCGUGACAUCUCCAUUGCCAUGGCAGUGAGCAGCCACGUCAUUCAGCGAGUCUACAGGGUGAUGGGCCAGUCCUGUGCAGGGCCCGCUGCUCUCUGGUUCUAGCUCCUGAAGGAGGAGGCUCCCUGGCAGAGCACAGAGCCCUUUGUUUAUUUGAUCCUGGGCUCUUGGAUAAAUCAGGAAUGUCCUGACAUGAACUUAGGCAUGUUUUUCUUCCAUGGAGAAGGAAACUGCGGCAAAUGGGAUCUCAGCAAGCAGAGGACCAUUGCAGGGAACUUGCUUUGGUGCCAUCAAGGCCACAUUCCUUUGGUCAUCAGACCAGUAGGUGACUUCUUUAUUGGCAUGCUCAACCCUGGAGCCCAGAAGGUGUGAAUUUGAAGCACUUUCCCCCCUGCUGGGAGUCUGGCAUGGAAGGCCCUUUUAAAGCUGGUGCUAUGGGCAUCUUCCAAGUGGUCCUCCAUUCUGCCGGGCAAAAGCUUGGGCCAAAGGAGUUGCUUGAAGGAGGUUUGGGAUGUGGGUAGGAGAUAAGGCAGCUGGCUGCCUGGUCUGUCGUUCUCCCAUCAUCCCUCUGGAAGUUGCGGGGUUCUUGGAGGGCUCUUUGAGAGUCAGCCACCUCAGGACCCCAGUGGGUCUUGCCUUUCUGGCCAGGCCAGGGCUCAGGAGGUGUGACUGGUUGUGAACAACCUUUGUGGUCUACAUUCUUUGGACGUAGAGGUGUGGGAAAGAAGGCUUCCUGGGCGUGUCUGGCUAUGUAGGCUCCAGUGGAUUAGCAUCAGAGCUGUGCUGGGAAGCAUUUUUUGAGUCUGGGGUGGGGGGAUGGAGAAGAGAGGGGCAGGAAAAUGUUGAGAGCCAUGAACUUUGCUGCCCUGGAAACCUGUCCAUAUCCAGAGCAGAGUCUCCAGAUGGUUUCCCAUCCGGGCCUGCCCCGCGUCGCGGGUCUGGAGUGGCUGCUUGGUGCCCACUUUCCAUGCGUGCUUGUCCCAGAGAAGAGAGCCCAGUCAUUGGCCAUUGCAGGCCUAGGCCUGGCUGUCGCUGUGUUUUGCUGCUUUUCUUGUUGUGAGGAGGAUCUUCUUGGGAACAAAUGACUCAGCAACCUGGAUCUUGGAGGCUGUGUGGCCUGGGUGUGUGGCCUGAGUGUCUGCUGAACAGUAACUGGACGGAGAUACCUGGGCCCUACCAUGAUGGGCCUGGGGAAGAAACGGAGAACCAGACUGCUCUCCCUCUGGACUCUCCAGGCUCUGAGGUUCAGUUUGGUUUUUCCAAAUUCCUGUGCUGAUAGCAGGAUCUGACUCGUGGGGUAAGCAGGCAAUGUUUUAAUUAUGCUUUUUGUCCUUAGGAAAUUCCAGGGAGAAAAAGGUCCUGGUGUGCAGCCAAAAAAAGCCAAAAACAACAACAGAAAUGAGCUGCGGCUAUAAUUCUGGACUUGUCUGUGGUGGAAAGAGUUAAGGGGGUGGUGGUCCCAGGGCAAGGACCACUUCCCCUUGCUGAGGGAAGCCCCUGGGUCUCAAGAGAAGAUGAUGCAACGUUUAGCAGGGAGCAGCCCUGUCUGGGCUCUGGGGGCUGCCACUGUAAGAGUUAACCUUGGCACUGCCCUCCGGCUCUCCAGGGGAAAAGCUGCAGUUCUGCUCUUGCAACACAAGGAGCAGACUGGAGAAUUUAGAUCUGCGUCACAGAGCUCAGAGAGAGAGAGAGAGCAAGCGAGCGAGCGAGCAAGCUCCGUGGAUAGGUCUGCUAGCAACAGCCGUGCUGCAGCAGGGAGAGAGAGAAAUGAAGAAACAAGUCAUAG